UUUGAUCCUGGCUCAGAGCGAACGCUGGCGGCAGGCCUAACACAUGCAAGUCGAGCGCCGUAGCAAUACGGAGCGGCAGACGGGAGAGUAACACGUGGGAACGUGCCCUUCAGUUCGGAACAACCCAGGGAAACUUGGGCUAAUACCGGAUACGUCCGUAAGGAGAAAGAUUUAUCGCUGAAGGAUCGGCCCGCGUCUGAUUAGCUAGUUGGUGGGGUAAUGGCCCACCAAGGCGACGAUCAGUAGCUGGUCUGAGAGGAUGAUCAGCCUCACUGGGACUGAGACACGGCCCAGACUCCUACGGGAGGCAGCAGUGGGGAAUAUUGGACAAUGGGCGCAAGCCUGAUCCAGCCAUGCCGCGUGGGUGAUGAAGGCCCUAGGGUUGUAAAGCCCUUUCGGCGGGGAAGAUAAUGACGGUACCCGCAGAAGAAGCCCCGGCUAACUUCGUGCCAGCAGCCGCGGUAAUACGAAGGGGGCUAGCGUUGCUCGGAAUCACUGGGCGUAAAGCGCACGUAGGCGGCUUUUUAAGUCAGGGGUGAAAUCCUGGAGCUCAACUCCAGAACUGCCUUUGAUACUGAGAAGCUUGAGUCCGGGAGAGGUGAGUGGAACUGCGAGUGUAGAGGUGAGAUUCGUAGAUAUUCUCAAGAACACCAGUGGCGAAGGCGGCUCACUGACCCGGUACUGACGCUGAGGUGCGAAAGCGUGUGGAGCAAACAAGAUUAGAUACCCUGGUAGUCCACGCCGU
Molecule: ribosomal RNA, 745 nt
Filed under: uncultured bacterium
Lineage: Bacteria
Description: bacterial SSU rRNA
Rfam family: Bacterial small subunit ribosomal RNA
Source: RNAcentral